UGGGGAAUUUUGGACAAUGGGCGAAAGCCUGAUCCAGCAAUGCCGCGUGUGUGAAGAAGGCCUUCGGGUUGUAAAGCACUUUUGUCCGGAAAGAAAUCCUUGGCUCUAAUACAGUCGGGGGAUGACGGUACCGGAAGAAUAAGCACCGGCUAACUACGUGCCAGCAGCCGCGGUAAUACGUAGGGUGCAAGCGUUAAUCGGAAUUACUGGGCGUAAAGCGUGCGCAGGCGGUUUGCUAAGACCGAUGUGAAAUCCCCGGGCUCAACCUGGGAACUGCAUUGGUGACUGGCAGGCUAGAGUAUGGCAGAGGGGGGUAGAAUUCCACGUGUAGCAGUGAAAUGCGUAGAGAUGUGGAGGAAUACCGAUGGCGAAGGCAGCCCCUGGGCCAAUACUGACGCUCAUGCACGAAAGCGUGGGGAGCAAAACAGGAUUAGAUACCCUGGUAGUCCACGCCCUAAAACGAUGUCAACUAGUUGUUGGGGAUUCAUUUCCUUAGUAACGUAGCUAACGCGUGAAGUUGACCGCCUGGGGAGUACGGUCGCAAAGAUUAAAACUUAAAUGAAUUGACGGGGUCAUAGCUGUUUCCU
Molecule: ribosomal RNA, 587 nt
Filed under: uncultured bacterium
Lineage: Bacteria
Description: partial 16S ribosomal RNA
Rfam family: Bacterial small subunit ribosomal RNA
Source: RNAcentral